UCAAAAACUGAAAACACAAAUUAGUGCUCACUGAUGUAAAUUUUUCUUUCCUUAACUAUGGCUACAUGUUGUUAAAGCUGAUGUCAUGUUAAACAUUCAGCGCUGAUGAACCCUAAUUUAUAGAACUAAAACAUCUACAUCAAGGACACAAGCAUUAUUAAUACACCCCUGUCAAGAAUUGGAAACCCAAGAAUUGAGUUUGGCCUUACUUGUUAUCAGUGAAAGCACAGAAACUUCUACCCACUAUUUCUUGUGGGCAAAGAGUUUAGACCCAAAAUUCCUCAGUUCCUGAUAAAUACCUUGCUGACCCUAAAUGAGUGUAAAUUUUUUGUUUCAUAUUGUGUCAUGGACAGCUUCUGGUAUUGUUAAAACACAUACACCAAAAUGAAAAAAACUUUCUAGUGUACUUCUUUCUUUUUUUUUUUUUGCUUUAAAGAGAUUGUUGGUCUUGUUUGUUUAUUUUAUCUUUAAGCCUUGAAGCUUUAAUUUUCUAAUUCAAAACUGCCUUACUAAUUAACCUGCUGUGGCUUUGUGGCGCCAUUGAAGCUCUAUCUCUUGUCCCAUUGGACUCAUUUAAGCAGAGUGCCUUCAGUUCCAUUGGGUUUAAAAAUGUGUAUCAUCCAGCAGCUGAAUUUACAUGUUCUGAAGAAGUAGUAUGUAUUUUUGGGGCUGUAAGGAAAAGGGAUAUCUCAGGGAGUUACUCCUUGUGGCUCUGAGUACCAUGCCAAAUAAGUCAUUAUUGUCUUAUUCUGCAAUGAUAAGAGAGCAAGCAAGCUCUAUCCUUGCAUCUAAACAGCAAGCUAAAUUAGGAUCAUACAUGAUAUCCUCCAGUGGUCUGUUCCUGUCUCCUUCAUUUUUCCUCUUUGAAGCCAUUUCCAGUGUGACUCACAGAUUCAUGCACCAUACAAGGGUGACACAUGAGUACUCUGCUGGCUGAGUUAUCACUAAGCACAUCUGCUAAGUGAUGAGGUACAAAUGCCAGUCUAAAAAUGCCCCUCAUAUGAUUACAUUAAAAGAAACAGUGAAAAUAAGAGCCUGAGGCACUGAAGAGGUGACAUGAGUAAUAGACAGAGAAAUCAACUUUGCACAUUCCUAUUUAACGUAAUUCCUCUGAUUAAAGACCCUGGCUCCAGGACAAACUAUGCAGCAUUAAAGUGAGGAGGAGGGAUCUUCUACUCUCAGCAGUUAACCCAGGAAUCAGAGAACACAUUUUACCUUGCUCCAGUCGGUAUGUGGCAAAGUCAAGUCCAGGCAUUUUUCCAUUUUCUCAUCCAAGCUUUUUACCUCAGAACUUUGGAGAGGACAGAAAGUCUUGUUGGACCAAGUUCAGUCUGUCUACAUGAUACCUGCCAGACACACAGCUCUUCUUGUGGUUAUCUCGUCUGAAGUUCAGCUGACAAGGCAUGGCAUAACUGCAGUGACAUUUAGGUCCACCUUGGCAAAGAUGGUUCUUGUGCAAACAGCACCCAUUCUUAAUAACACAGAAUGAUAGGAUUCUGCCCUGGCUCUCAAAUCUACUUUAGCUCACAAUGACUUAAUCUUCCCCCACCUCAUCACUAGAUUCUAAAUGGCUUUUAAAAAUAAAUUAGAAGAUAUUUGUGCAUUCCAGGUAAAAAACAUCAUGAUUAUUAGUAUAACUUCAGUAAUUAAAAACUCAUAAAAUGCACUGAGAUAUACUUACACAGAAGAGGAUAAACUUUUUUGUGGUCCACCAAAACUUUGGUUUCAUCUAAGAAUAGACUUUCAGUUAUUCUGAAUGACCUUCUGAAAUGAAAGUUGAUUUGUUAAGAGACAUUUUGGCCUUGAUCGCAUGUGUGGAGUUCUUCUCAGUACCUUUACUAUUGUGUCUUAAGUUCCUCUCAGAACUAGGUUAAGGUCUUGCCUCCUAUUAAAAUUUCAGUCCCGUGGUAAAAGUUGAAUGUUGAAGGAUUAUUUCAGCCUGUGGUGGCCUAUUUCCUCUUUCAUUUUUUUAAGGCUACAACUUCUGUUGUGAUUUGCAUGAACCAGGUGACCCAGGCAUUCCUGCUGAAGUCCUGGUGAUUAUGGCUGGUCUUCCAAAAGCAUUUUCACAUUCUUUCCUUGACAACUGGCAUCCUCCAAGUUAUUGCCUAGCAUGAAUCCUAAUUUAAUCUUUUUCAUAAGAUGUAUUUUUCUUAAUAGUGGAUUUAAACCAAAUACCUUACACAUCAAAAGUACUUCUUUUUCAUUUGGAGUGGGCAAGGGAAGAUCACAAGACUUUGCUGUGUCUCCAGCUAGGAUAUUCAGAGGCACAACUGCAGCUGUUUCCUGGUAUCUCAGCACAGGGCUGUCAGCUGAAGAUGCUGGUACCCUUGGCAAGCAAACCACAAUGCAUGUGGGACGUUGCAUGGAGCUCAUCACACAAAUGAACACAUACAGAUAAUCUUACAGAAGGAAAGCCUGCUUAAAAAUAAAGUUCUUCAAUGUACAGUAUGCCUUUUUUAACUAGCUUCCUAAAAUAAGGCCAUGGAUUAUUCUCAUGAGAAUGCACAAACCAAAUCACAGGUACUUCUUGGCAGCAAGGAGAGACAAAACAAGUGCAUCAUCUCUGGUAUAAUCUGUAUUAUGCCAUUUCAACUGUGGUGAAAUUCAGUCUCUUUUUACUGAAUGUUAAUGUUAAUGUGAACUAGCUCUAAGUAUGCUUAAAUCUUUAAAUAAAUGAGCUGCAGAUUUAAAUCCUAUGUGGACAGUUAGUUUUGCUAAAGAUUUAACACUGGGGUAUUUAAUCUUCAUUUAGUAAAGUUCCAAGUUACGUUAAAUGAAAAGGAAAAAAUAUAAAACCUUAUUCAUGCUAGUUUAAAGAAAGCAUAGGCUUUAUAGUUAACAUAAGUUCACAUGGGCAAGGUUUUAUGCAUUCAUGAAAGAGAUUGCAUUUGAUCUGAUUAUAUUGAAUUAAAGAUAAAUUAUAGUUAAACCUCUAGGGAGAAGAAUGAGGAUCAUGGAGAGUUUUUUAAGUAGUUUUAAUUAAUUUUCUAAAUAUGUUUACUUUGCAGUUCAUAGAAAAUUGAUAUUCCUAUACCUUCCCUCAGUGACACAAGCCUUCCUCAAGCUGUGAUAAGUGCUUCUCAACAUUUCAGUCUGUUGGAAAUAUUAUACCUUUAAUGGUAUGAACCAAUUCAUCUUUUUCCUCACGAUGCAGAGCAACCCAGAACUUACCCCUAAGGAGAACACAAAAGGAAAAGGCAUAUCAGAAAUUCUGUCGGCCAAUUUUCGAAUUUAAGUGGAAGAUUACUUCAAUGUCAGCUUUCAUGGAGGAGCCAAACGCCAGCUGGUGCUCCAUCUCCGUUCCCUGGGUACAAUGCUCCGUGCCUGCGGCUCCCUCGUGUGGUGCAUCCCUGUCCAUCUGGGCAUCAGCACAGCACAUCUUUACCCUGCAAUCAGUAGCUGUGAACCUCUCAGUGUGGUUAUCAUUCCCAGUAUUCUUUGCUAUCCCAAAGCAUACUAUCUGCCCAGCAAUAAGGAGCUUUGUGCAGCAGCAACUGUGACAUUCAGAUCUGUCAGCAGGAGAGAUAAACAAUCCUUAGCACCUGAAAGGCUUAAUGCAAAUAUAUGAAAAAGACACAAGCCCCUUGACAUUUAAGAGUGCAGUGACCCAAAAAGGGGCCAGAAUUAUUUCAAAUGCAGUUCCCGAAGAGGUCAAGCACAUGGAAAAGAUCUACAGCAAUGUAAGACAACACUUCAUCUGUUAUUCCAAGACUUCCAUCACCGUAGUCACAUUCGCAAAGAAUGUGUGCUUUCUGUAAUAGAAAGUAGCUGUGGUAAGACCUCUUUUCUUGCAACCAGUACAAAUUCACUCCACAAGAGGGCUUGUGUGUUGUCAAGCCAACGCCUCUGUGACAGCUGGGGUGCAGCAGAUCCUGACAGCAUCCAAAAAGCUGCUGAAGAAGCACCUCCCUCUUUGCCAAGUCUAGUGUCUGAAGUGGAGACUGCAAGAGCACGGCUGAAUUCCUAAGUUAUGGAGGUCCGACCAUCUUGAGAGCUGCCCUGCCAUUCCCUCCAGCCCCCAGACCCUCCUGAGCCAUCCAGAACAGCCACUCCAAGCAGGCAAGAGCAGCAUUGCAGGGGGGCUGAGCUAAAUAAAAGGGAUCACUACCAGGAUGUAGACAAGAGAAGUGUGUUAGCUUAAAAGCAGCACCAGCAGCAAACAUCUACCUGUAUGGAGUCUGGCUCAAACACACAGAAAAAAAGGAUGAAACAGGGAAAGAGAUGAGAAGAUAAGGAGAAAGGGAGUGUCAGUCCUUUGGAAGAGAAGUAGAAAUGCUGCAGGUGGAGGAGUCCAGAAAACCUAGUGAGACAGCUGAGAGCCUCUGCCUGCAUUGAGGUGCAUGCAACCCUGGAAAAACUGGAGUCUAAAGCAGAGAUUAAUUUACUGCCCUCAGUCAUUAGUGUAAUUCAUCGCAGCAAUCUUAGUUGCUUCCAAGAGACAGAGUUGGGGCUUUGUUUGUUUUAAUGAAACGUGAGGAUGUUAAAAGAAACAGGACCAUACGAAGCCUGGAGUGCAAUAGUCCAGAAAUGAGAGAGCAAGAUGAGCCAAACAUUAACACUUUGAAAUUGGGCACAUCACUGCCUGAAUGAGCAAGCCAGGCAGGAAACAUGAGGUGGGAAACAGAGGUAAGCGAGAAAGUCAGCAAAGCUUGCAAAGUAAAUUCACACUGAGUUUAUCUAAACCUGUUGCUGUUUCAUGAGGUUCUAUUAAAAUCCAGCUGAGAGCAGAGGCAACUGAGAACUCUCUCCAAAAACUCAGGGAUCAAAGUCAGAUUUCUGGUGGUCAACUACCCAAAGCAUGCCAACCCAGUUAAUUUGAAAAGUGAUUGCUUGUCUUAUUCCAGAGACGUGAAUAAAUUAAUGGACUUUGAGAUCCCACUGCCAAAAUGCUCCACUGAAUAGACUGAGACAACUGUUGAUUCAUUUGUUCUGCCAUUGACCUUUUUUCAGACUUUAUUCACUGUGCCUAUUAAUUCACCUUCUAAAAGAAAACUAUCACAGUAUUAUGUUCUAUAGAGGUUUGUUUUUUUUAAAUCAUCAUUAUUUAGUCAGCAGAAAGCAAGCAAUCUAUAACUUGCUUCAUUUUUUUUUGACUUUGCUUAAAGCAGUAUUACUUUUUUAUUAUUAUUGCAGCAUUUGAUAUUACAACUUGCCUUAAGGAAUGGAUACAAGAUCCAUCUCCUGGGGUUUCUAGGAAAAUAUUUCAAAAUAAAUAAUAAAUAGCAACUAUUUAUGAACCAAUCAGUGGUGAGGAAAAGAAGGAUGAUGAAAGUACAAUACUAAGUUGUGCAUCUGCCAUAAAUUAUUGAAAUUAAAGGGAAAGAUAGUAAAAUACUCAAAUUCAACUUUUUGCAGUAAUUUGGCUGCACUCAUAUUUUAUCAUUUGCUGUAACAGAGGUCAAAUUUCCCAGUUGCAUAAUGUCAUAGAGUAUAGCAAUGGGUUACACAAGCAAAAAUGUUUAAUUGCUAUCAUGUACACAUGAAAAUAAAAAAUUAGACUACUCUUUCAUUCAAAUCAUAAGACUGAUUCAAAUUUACCAAUCAUUAACAUUAAUUGACUGCAAUUCAAAUCAAAGAGCAACAGCUGCAUCCUGUUUUCUAGGCUUUGCGGAGGGUGAUGUUUUUGAAAAUAAUAAAUUUGCAUUCACACAGUUCUUAUUUUUAAACAUCAGAAGGAAUCAGUCAAAACUGUGGACCACUGUGCAAUCUGUACAAACCUUGCUUCCUUUUUAUAAGCCAGUGUGUAUUGUGUCAGUGGCAAUAUUUUAACAGCAGUCACAGAGCACUGUGGCACAGUGGGAUCAGCACAUUAGCAGUGACAGGACAGUGCUUUCUUUUAAGGAAUAAUUACAGGAUCACAUGAGCUAAUAGCCCCAGUAGGCUGCACAACACAGAGAACUGGGCACAUUCUCUAAGGGAUGCUAAACCUCAAAAGCUGGCACCCUAAUCUCAGGAAAACUUUUGAUGACCAGCACAUCUGAAAGCUUGACUUUGAAUUCCAGGAAGCUUGACUCAGCUCUUCCUUCUUCCAGGAUGGAUAAAUGGGGAGGUUCAUGCAGCUCACCACACAGGUAUCUUUGAAGUGGAACAUUAAAAACCUGGUGGCUGAUCUAUCCACUGCAGAUAUUUCAGAUUUUACAGCAAUCCCUAAAAGCAGAACUUUACUUAAAUACACCUGCAAGAAAGAAUUUUCCUUCCACCUUUGGUGCUGUGCAGAAUUUUCCACCCAGUCAAUUUCCAAGGUGGAUGAAAUGGUCCCUUAAUAUACUGAGACUCCAGUAAGAAUUACUUCAGGUCAUGGUUUAUUUUUCCCUGAUUAGUUUCCUCCAAAUGCACUCAGACUACAGUAGUAGUGCAGAGGAACACAGGAACCACUGCCAGAUCAGUCCAUCAUCUCACUCUCUCCUGACAAAGGUCAGUGCUGAAUACUUCAGGAAUUGUUUUGACAGACAGCUUUUGAGAGCACAUUCACCCAUAAAAACACAUGAUUAUUUUUCCAUCAACAGCCAGUAAUAUCCUGAAACCUGCUGUUUUUCAUAACUCUACCUAACUGGAAGACAAACAACAUCUGUUUUUUUAUUUAAUAUAUCUAAUCUUUAGUAAAAAUAGUAAUAAUACUAAAACAACCUGCUGCUCUCUUGGUGUCAAUGAUUUUCAGUGGCAAUGAGUUCCACAUGCUUAUUAUGCAGUGCCAUAUGACUUUAACUAGUUUUAUAUGGCUAGUUUUAUAUGACUUUAACUAGUUUUACAAUUUCUGCCUUGCAAUUCUUAUGAAUAACUUCUUGUAUAAUGAAAAAAAAAAAUCUGCUUUACAGUCUGAAAAACAGUGCAUAUUUUUAUGCCCCUCUAAAACUCCUUUAGCAUUCACAAACUUUUCCACCUCUCUUAAUAAAGAAAGCUUUCCACAUCCCAGCCUAACUGUUCUCUGAACAUCUUCUCAUUCUCUUGUCACCUUGUUGAAAUAUAGGGCAGGCAGAAAUAAACACAAGAAUUCAAGAAGGAGGAAAUAAUGAGAUAAAAUAGAUUUCUUUUUGGCAUUUUAACACCUGAAUAAUAUUUUCAUCUCAGAUAUGGAGGAAUGGAAUAUGACUGCCCUAAAAUUGCUUAUGUGACAGAUGCUCAUGCACACUGAGCUACACCUGAAGUAACUUUACCUGGCAGCACAAGAUCCAGCAUGAGAUCCAAACACACUCAGAACCAGGGUGAAUACCUGGGGUGGGAGCCCCUUCUGAGCCCCCUGCCACUGUACACACCCAUAUAGGCUGCUCUUGCUGCAGCAACUGUGAUAAUUAUUGGCCAAGAAACACU
Molecule: non-coding RNA, 7311 nt
Organism: Cyanistes caeruleus (blue tit)
Lineage: Eukaryota; Metazoa; Chordata; Aves; Passeriformes; Paridae
Source: RefSeq, a predicted model, not a curated record